Molecule: transfer RNA, 73 nt
Filed under: Dendronephthya gigantea
Lineage: Eukaryota; Metazoa; Cnidaria; Anthozoa; Malacalcyonacea; Nephtheidae
Description: tRNA-Thr
Rfam family: tRNA
About the family: Transfer RNA (tRNA) molecules are approximately 80 nucleotides in length.
Source: RNAcentral
GCCUCCUUAGCUCAGUGGUUAGAGCACUGGUCUAGUAAACCAGGGGUUCAGAGUUCGAAUCUCUGACGAGGCU